GUUUCUAAAAAGGAUGUAAUUGAAUAAAUAUUCAAUUACAUACACAUUUUAUUACACAUCCGCAAUAUAAUAGUAGUUGCAUGCAUGAAGAAACUAUAAGGAGGUCUCGUCGGCAACACUAUACAGAAGGGGCGAGUGAAAAGUACGAGUGAGAGGGCUCUCGCUGCAAGUGUGAGGGCAACGACAAUGGAUUAUGAAGAAAAAAUUUCGUCCGCAACCAACCUUCCGCGUCGACAAGCUAACGAGCACUGAUCAAAGGCAGAACCAGCGAGUAACUCUGCCACCGACGAGGCCUCCUUAUAGUUUCUUUAUGGUUGCAUGCAUAUAUCAUUGUCUUCCGCUUACGUCUUCAUUCAUAAACAAUGAAGAAAUUCUUUGCGAUUUGUCAAAGCGAUCCGUUCGCACGAACUUUGCUCUACUCAGAAAUGCCACGUUAUUACACUUGGAACGCUACGUCGAAGAAAUUUCAACGUCGGAAGCAAGGCGAUGCAGUUCCUUGUCAUCCAGGUAUGCGUUCUACUGAUGCUCUUGGUCGUAUUGACACAGUUCAUCCGAAGAAUGAUUAAUGUUUCUAUUUGCGGUUGUUGCUGGUACAUGUUC
This 600-nucleotide long non-coding RNA is filed under the name Drosophila guanche. Lineage: Eukaryota; Metazoa; Arthropoda; Insecta; Diptera; Drosophilidae. The record is from RNAcentral.